AAAUCUCACAAAUGAAACAUUUUUUGUUUCAAAUUGUGGACUUGGAUUUGCGAUCCUUGGAUUGCUAAUCUGAAAUGAAUUUCAUGAAGAUUAACUUGCUUUGAAAUCUUUGCUUAAUAGUUUUGCUUUGUCAAAUCUUUUGCAAUUGAUUUCAAAAGCCAAAAAAGUGGAUUGAUUUUUUACGAAAUCUAAAAUCUCAUU
RNAcentral lists this unclassified non-coding RNA (201 nucleotides) under uncultured Umbelopsidomycetes. RNAcentral describes it as "sequence contains ITS2". Lineage: Eukaryota; Fungi; Mucoromycota; Umbelopsidomycetes. The record is from RNAcentral.